This 1440-nucleotide ribosomal RNA is filed under the name uncultured Bordetella sp. RNAcentral describes it as "partial 16S-23S ribosomal RNA intergenic spacer". It matches the Rfam family "Bacterial small subunit ribosomal RNA". The record is from RNAcentral. Lineage: Bacteria; Pseudomonadati; Pseudomonadota; Betaproteobacteria; Burkholderiales; Alcaligenaceae.
AGUUCGAUCCUGGCUCAGAUUGAACGCUGGCGGGAUGUUUACCACAUGCAAGUCGAACAGCUUCAGCACGGACUUCGGUCUGGUGGCGAGUGGCGAACAGGUGGUGUGUAUCGGAACGUGCCUAGUAGCGGGGGAUAACUACGCGAAAGCGUAGCUAAUACCGCAUACGCCCUUCGGGGGAAAGCGGGGGGACCUUCGGGCCUCGCACUAUUAAGCAGCCGAUAUCGGAUUAGCUAGUUGGUGGGAGCUUGGCUCACCGGGCGACCCGAUCCGUAGCUGGUUUGAGAGGACGACCAACCACACUGGGACUGAGACACGGCCCAGACUCCUACGGGAGGCAGCAGUGGGGAAUUUUGGACAAUGGGGAAACCUGAUCCAGCCAUCCCGCGUGUGCGAUGAAGGCCUUCGGGUUGUAAGCACUUUUGGCAGGAAAAGAAACGGCACGGGAUAAUACGUGCAACUGACGGUACCUGCAGAAUAAGCACCGGCUAACUACGUGCCAGCAGCCGCGGUAAUACGUAGGGUGCAAGCGAUGUCAGAAUUACUGAGGCGUAAAGCGUGCGCAGGCGGUUCGGAAAAGAAAGAUGUGAAAUCCCAGAGCUUAACUUUGGAACUGCAUUUUUAACUACCGAGCUAGAGUGUGUCAGAGGGAGGUGGAAUUCCGCGUGUAGCAGUGAAAUGCGUAGAUAUGCGGAGGAACACCGAUGGCAGAAGGCAGCCUCCUGGGAUAACACUGACGCUCGUACACAGCGUGAGGGCAACAGGAUUAGAUACCCUGGUAGUCCACGCCUAAACGAUGUCAACUAGCUGUUGGGGCCUUCGGGCCUUGGUAGCGCAAUAACGCGUGAAGUUGACCGCCUGGGGAGUUACGGUCGCAAGAUUAAACUCAAGGAAUUGACCAGAGACCGCACGGCGGUGGAUGAUGUGGAUUAAUUCGAUACGCGCGAAAACCUUACCUACCUUGACAUGUCUGGAAUCCCGAGAAAUUUAGGAGUGCUCGCGAGAACCGGAACACAGGUGCGCGAAGCAAUAUUCGCUCGUGUCGUGAGAUGUUGGGUUAAGUCCGCAACGAGGCGCAACCCCUUGUCAUUGAUUUUCGAGAAGAGGUACUCGCCGGAACUUCAGUAUAAGCCGGAGGAAGGUGGGGAUGACAUUAGAGUCCUCCUUGGCCUUAUGAUGAGACUUCCCGUCACUGGCAGAUUAAGGACAAGUUACUCCAACCUGAGGAAUGUCAGAAACCCGAUCGUAGUCGGAUCGCAGUCUGCGCUCGACCUGCGUAGUCAGGAAUCGCUGAAAUCGCGGAUCAGCAUGUCGCGGUGAAUACGUUCAGGUCAUAUUUUACUGCCCAUCCUGGAAUUGGGUUUCGAAGUAGUUAGCCUAGCAAUAGGAGGACGGUACCACGAUGGGAUUCGCGACUGGGGUGAAGUCGUAACAAGGUAG